Moschus moschiferus (Siberian musk deer) is the source of this 104-nucleotide small nuclear RNA. NCBI's taxonomy places the organism in Eukaryota, Metazoa, Chordata, Mammalia, Artiodactyla, Moschidae. The record is from Ensembl.
GUUUGCUUUAGCUGACAUAUACUAAAAUCAGAACAAUAUAGAGAAGAUCAGCAUGGCUGUCCCACAAAGAUGACAUGCAAAUUUGUAAAGCACUCCAUAUUUUU